Molecule: non-coding RNA, 71 nt
Organism: Dendronephthya gigantea
Lineage: Eukaryota; Metazoa; Cnidaria; Anthozoa; Malacalcyonacea; Nephtheidae
Source: the annotation of a RefSeq genome assembly
GCGCUGGUGAUUCAGUUGUAAAAUUCUCGCCUGCCACGUGGGAGACCGGGGUUCGAUUCCCCGCUAGCGCA